This 244-nucleotide ribosomal RNA is filed under the name uncultured bacterium. RNAcentral's name for it is "partial 16S ribosomal RNA". It matches the Rfam family "Bacterial small subunit ribosomal RNA", at positions 15 to 257 of the family's 1533-position model. The record is from RNAcentral.
GAUCAUGGCUCAGGAUGAACGCUAGCGACAGGCUUAACACAUGCAAGUCGAGGGGCAGCACAGGUAGCAAUACCGGGUGGCGACCGGCGCACGGGUGAGUAACGCGUAUGCAACCUGCCGAUGACUCGGGGAUAGCCUUUCGAAAGAAAGAUUAAUACCCGAUGGCAUAGUUCUUCCGCAUGGUAGAACUAUUAAAGAAUUUCGGUCAUCGAUGGGGAUGCGUUCCAUUAGGUUGUUGGCGGGG